Molecule: ribosomal RNA, 490 nt
Filed under: uncultured bacterium
Lineage: Bacteria
Description: partial 16S ribosomal RNA
Rfam family: Bacterial small subunit ribosomal RNA
Source: RNAcentral
AUUGAACGCUGGCGGCAGGCCUAACACAUGCAAGUCGAACGGUAACAGGAAGCAGCUUGCUUCUUCGCUGACGAGUGGCGGACGGGUGAGUAAUGUCUGGGAAGCUGCCUGAUGGAGGGGGAUAACUACUGGAAACGGUAGCUAAUACCGCAUAAUGUCGCAAGACCAAAGAGGGGGACCUUCGGGCCUCUUGCCAUCGGAUGUGCCCAGAUGGGAUUAGCUUGUUGGUGGGGUAACGGCUCACCAAGGCGACGAUCCCUAGCUGGUCUGAGAGGAUGACCAGCCACACUGGAACUGAGACACGGUCCAGACUCCUACGGGAGGCAGCAGUGGGGAAUAUUGCACAAUGGGCGCAAGCCUGAUGCAGCCAUGCCGCGUGUAUGAAGAAGGCCUUCGGGUUGUAAAGUACUUUCAGCGGGGAGGAAGGGAGUAAAGUUAAUACCUUUGCUCAUUGACGUUACCCGCAGAAGAAGCACCGGCUAACUCCGUG